This 465-nucleotide ribosomal RNA is filed under the name uncultured bacterium. Its description in RNAcentral is "partial 16S ribosomal RNA". It matches the Rfam family "Bacterial small subunit ribosomal RNA", at positions 28 to 507 of the family's 1533-position model. The record is from RNAcentral.
GACGAACGCUGGCGGCGUGCUUAACACAUGCAAGUCGAACGGAAAGGCCCUGCUUGCAGGGUUCUCGAGUGGCGAACGGGUGUGUAACACGUGGGUGCUCUGCCCUGCUCUUCGGUAUACGCCUGGAACACUGGGUCUAAUACCGGAUAGCCGCCCUUUUUAGUGUGUGGGUUGGAGAGUUUUUUCGGUGUAGGAUGAGCUCGCGGCCUAUCAGCUUGUUGGUGGGGUAAUGGCCUACCAAGGCGGCGACGGGUAGCCGGACUGAGAGGGUGGACGGCCACAUUGGGACUGAGAUACGGCCCAGACUCCUACGGGAGGCAGCAGUGGGGAAUAUUGCACAAUGGGCGCAAGCCUGAUGCAGCGACGCCGCGUGGGGGAUGACGGCCUUCGGGUUGUAAACUCCUUUCGCUAGGGACGAAGCUUUUUGUGACGGUACCUAGAGAAGAAGCGCCGGCUAACUACGUG